AUGUGGCUAAGAGCUCUAUUGCCCCAAUUCGCUGCUCCGAUGUUGACCUCACCGCAGUUCUGGCAAACUUCUCGGCGGCUAUCACCCAGUUCCCUCUCAAGUAUUUGGUUGCCCUUGUCGCUUGGUAGACUCAGAAGGACCGACCUUCAGCCAUACAUUGAUAAAGCUGCGUCAAGGUUGAACCCUCUGAAAGGAAGAUUCCUAAAUCGGGCGGGGUGCUGCACUUAUGUGAAAUCUGUCCUUUCUUCCAUGCCGAUCUUCCUCCUGACUGCUAUCAAAGUGGAUAAAGGCUUCCUAAGGGCUAUGGCCAAGAUCUGUUGCGGUAUGCUAUGGGACUGCAAGGAAUCUGUCAGCGGUGGGAAAUGCAAGGUCAACUGGCAGAAGGUCUGCCGCCCUAAGGAGCUUGGUGGAUUGGGGAUCCUAGAUUUGGAAAGGUUCUCCCGCGCCCUUAGACUUCGCUGGCUUUGGGACGAAUGGAAGGCUCCUGAAAAACCUUGGGUAGGUUUUGAAACUCCUAACGAUGCCUCAGAUAGACAGCUCUUCAACGCCGCGACUCGUGUUACUAUCGGGGAUGGCAAGAAGGCCUCCUUUUGGUCUUCCUCAUGGCUUGACGGCAAGCCACCGAAAGAUAUGGCACCUCUGAUCUUCAAAGCUUCGAGGAGGAAAAACCGAACGGUCCAUGAUGCCCUUACUGACCAUACCUGGGUAGCGGAUAUUGCGGUGGAGGCCUUCACGGCAGAGCACAUUGGCCAGUUCGUCCAGCUAUGGGAUCUCAUCUCAGAUAUCCAGCUCUCCCCAGAUAUAGAAGAUUCCAUCAUCUGGACCCUCUCCCCAAAUGGAUGCUACUCUGCGAGCUCCGCCUAUAAGGCGCAGUUCAUGACCGCGCUGCCUUGCUCCUUCGGCUCGAUUGUCUGGAAAACGUGGGCGCCUCCCAAAUGCCGCUUCUUCGCUUGGCUCGCCGUCCAAAAUCGCCUCUGGACCGCGGAUCGCCUGGCCAAACGUGGAUGGCCACACCAGCCCUCCUGCCAGCUAUGCCGGUGCUCCCCUGAGACGGCGAGACACAUGCUCUUUGAAUGCCGUUACUCCAAGAGGAUCUGGUCCGCGGCGGCAUCCUGGCUCUCCUGCCCAGAAUUACUGCUUAGCAUGGGCUCUGGUCGCCCCAAGGUGGUGGACUACUGGCAGGCCUUAGCUAGGUCGCCCUCUUCCUCUCCCAAAGGUCUAAAAACGGCUAUCAUGCUCAUCACCUGGGAAAUCUGGAAGGAAAGAAAUGAGAGAGUCUUCAACAAGAAAUCCUCUCUGCCGGUGGUGGUCAUGCACAAGAUAAGAGAGGUAGCAAAAGAUUGGAUUCUAGCGGGAGCAAAAAACCUGGCGGAUCUUGUGGGCUGA
RNAcentral lists this ribosomal RNA (1386 nucleotides) under Triticum aestivum (bread wheat). RNAcentral describes it as "partial small subunit ribosomal RNA". Lineage: Eukaryota; Viridiplantae; Streptophyta; Magnoliopsida; Poales; Poaceae. The record is from RNAcentral.